RNAcentral lists this ribosomal RNA (497 nucleotides) under uncultured bacterium. Its description in RNAcentral is "partial 16S ribosomal RNA". It matches the Rfam family "Bacterial small subunit ribosomal RNA", at positions 28 to 507 of the family's 1533-position model. The record is from RNAcentral.
GAUGAACGCUGGCGGCGUGCCUAAUACAUGCAAGUCGAGCGAACAGACGAGGAGCUUGCUCCUCUGACGUUAGCGGCGGACGGGUGAGUAACACGUGGAUAACCUACCUAUAAGACUGGGAUAACUUCGGGAAACCGGAGCUAAUACCGGAUAAUAUAUUGAACCGCAUGGUUCAAUAGUGAAAGACGGCUUUGCUGUCACUUAUAGAUGGAUCCGCGCCGCAUUAGCUAGUUGGUAAGGUAACGGCUUACCAAGGCAACGAUGCGUAGCCGACCUGAGAGGAUGAUCGGCCACACUGGAACUGAGACACGGUCCAGACUCCUACGGGAGGCAGCAGUAGGGAAUCUUCCGCAAUGGGCGAAAGCCUGACGGAGCAACGCCGCGUGAGUGAUGAAGGUCUUCGGAUCGUAAAGCUCUGUUAUCAGGGAAGAACAAAUGUGUAAGUAACUAUGCACGUCUUGACGGUACCUAAUCAGAAAGCCACGGCUAACUACGUG